GGGGGAAUAUUGGACAAUGGGCGCAAGCCUGAUCCAGCCAUGCCGCGUGAGGGAUGAAGGCCCUAGGGUUGUAAAGCCCUUUCACCGGUGAAGAUAAUGACGGUAACCGGAGAAGAAGCCCCGGCUAACUUCGUGCCAGCAGCCGCGGUAAUACGAAGGGGGCUAGCGUUGUUCGGAUUUACUGGGCGUAAAGCGCACGUAGGCGGACUUUUAAGUCAGGGGUGAAAUCCCGGGGCUCAACCCCGGAACUGCCUUUGAUACUGGAAGUCUUGAGUAUGGUAGAGGUGAGUGGAAUUCCGAGUGUAGAGGUGAAAUUCGUAGAUAUUCGGGGGAACACCAGUGGCGAAGGCGGCUCACUGGACCAUUAAUGACGCUGAGGUGCGAAAGCGUGGGGAGCAAACAGG
RNAcentral lists this ribosomal RNA (404 nucleotides) under Actinomycetes bacterium. RNAcentral describes it as "Actinobacteria bacterium partial 16S ribosomal RNA". It matches the Rfam family "Bacterial small subunit ribosomal RNA", at positions 355 to 776 of the family's 1533-position model. Lineage: Bacteria; Bacillati; Actinomycetota; Actinomycetes. The record is from RNAcentral.